AGUCGAACGGAAAGGCCCCUUCGGGGGUACUCGAGUGGCGAACGGGUGAGUAACACGUGGGUGACCUGCCCUGCACUUCGGGAUAAGCCUGGGAAACUGGGUCUAAUACCGGAUAGGACCGCAUCGUGAGGAUGUGGUGGAAAGUUUUUUCGGUGCAGGAUGGGCCCGCGGCCUAUCAGCUUGUUGGUGGGGUAAUGGCCUACCAAGGCGGCGACGGGUAGCCGGCCUGAGAGGGUGGACGGCCACAUUGGGACUGAGACACGGCCCAGACUCCUACGGGAGGCAGCAGUGGGGAAUAUUGCACAAUGGGCGCAAGCCUGAUGCAGCGACGCCGCGUGGGGGAUGAAGGCCUUCGGGUUGUAAACUCCUUUCAUCAUCGACGAAGGGCUCACUUGUUGUGGGUUUGACGGUAGGUGGAGAAGAAGCACCGGCUAACUACGUGCCAGCAGCCGCGGUAAUACGUAGGGUGCGAGCGUUGUCCGGAAUUACUGGGCGUAAAGAGCUCGUAGGUGGUUUGUCGCGUCGUCUGUGAAAUUCCGGGGCUUAACUCCGGGCGUGCAGGCGAUACGGGCAUAACUUGAGUGCUGUAGGGGAGACUGGAAUUCCUGGUGUAGCGGUGAAAUGCGCAGAUAUCAGGAGGAACACCGAUGGCGAAGGCAGGUCUCUGGGCAGUAACUGACGCUGAGGAGCGAAAGCAUGGGGAGCAAACAGGAUUAGAUACCCUGGUAGUCCAUGCCGUAAACGGUGGGCGCUAGGUGUAGGGGUCUUCCACGACUUCUGUGCCGUAGCUAACGCAUUAAGCGCCCCGCCUGGGGAGUACG
RNAcentral lists this ribosomal RNA (821 nucleotides) under Corynebacterium sputi. Its description in RNAcentral is "bacterial SSU rRNA". It matches the Rfam family "Bacterial small subunit ribosomal RNA", at positions 60 to 884 of the family's 1533-position model. The record is from RNAcentral. Lineage: Bacteria; Bacillati; Actinomycetota; Actinomycetes; Mycobacteriales; Corynebacteriaceae.